Molecule: ribosomal RNA, 405 nt
Filed under: uncultured bacterium
Lineage: Bacteria
Description: partial 16S ribosomal RNA
Rfam family: Bacterial small subunit ribosomal RNA
Source: RNAcentral
GUUGAACGCUGGCGGCGUGCCUAAUACAUGCAAGUCGAGCGAAGCGGGGACGGGUGAGUAACACGUGUAUAACAUCCUAUAAGACUGGGAUUACUUCGGGAAACCGGAGGCAAUCCGGAUUCUUAGAGAUGGAUCCGCGCUGCAUUAGCUAGUGGGUAAGGUAACGGCUUACCAAGGCAACGAGGCAUAGCCGACCUGAGAGGGUGACCAGCCACACUGGAACUGAGACACGGUCCAGACUCCUACGGGAGGCAGCAGUGGGGAAUCUUCCGCAAUGGGCGAAAGCCUGACGGAGCAACGCCGCGUGGGUGAUGAAGGUCUUCGGAUCGUAAAGCUCUGUUAUCAGGGAAGCGGUACCUGAACAGAAAGCCCCGGCUAACUACGUGCCAGCAGCCGCGGUAAUAC